Molecule: ribosomal RNA, 457 nt
Filed under: uncultured Caryophanales bacterium
Lineage: Bacteria; Bacillati; Bacillota; Bacilli; Caryophanales
Description: uncultured Bacillales bacterium partial 16S ribosomal RNA
Source: RNAcentral
CACGUAGUUAGCCGUGGCUUUCUGAUUAGGUACCGUCAAGACGUGCACAGUUACUUACACAUUUGUUCUUCCCUAAUAACAGAGUUUUACGAUCCGAAGACCUUCAUCACUCACGCGGCGUUGCUCCGUCAGGCUUCCGCCCAUUGCGGAAGAUUCCCUACUGCUGCCUCCCGUAGGAGUCUGGACCGUGUCCUCAGUUCCAGUGUGGCCGAUCACCCUCUCAGGUCGGCUACGUAUCGUUGCCUUGGUAAGCCACUUACCCCACCUAACUAGCUAAUACGGCGCGGGUCCAUCUAUAAGUGAUAGACAAAACCAUUCUUUCACUUUAGAACCAUGCGGUUACUAAAUAUUAGUCCGGCUAUUACGCCCCGGUUUCCCGGAGUUUACUUCCAGUCCUUAGUAGGUUACGGUUACCCACGUUGUUACCUCGUACCCCGGUCCGCCCGCCUAACGGUAC